CAGGAGGAGUAGUAGCACGAAUAAGCACCAACCACAAAAGUGGGUGAUAAAUCACAAAAUGUGCUCCAGAGGAAAUGCUUUUGUGGAACAGCGCUUUCAGCUGCACAAAUAAUCAUACAUGUUCACUGUUAUCACCUAGCGACGCUUCUCAGAAUUUAUAAUUGUAGGUCUCCGUCCGACUUCUCCUCCUGCUCCCUGUGGGUGGAGGAAGGACGCGGCGCUAAAUACAGCCCUUCGGACCCUGUGCCAUCGAGAAGGUUCUCGAUCCCCCCUCGCGCACAACUGGGACGGAGCUCGUGGGCACCUGGCGCUGCGCUCAUCAUGGGCAGGAGAAAGUCCGGCAAACGGCCCUUUUUUAGAAAGAGAAAGGCGGUGUUGAAGACAACCGAUGGGAAAGUCGCUUCUAUGAGACGUAGGAGGUGCAUUGAAGUGCAGGAAGUCCAGGAGGCGAAUGAAAGGGCAAAAUCCGUCACUGUGUUUUUGCGCACAGGGGAGGGGAAGUCGGUCCACAUGGCGUUCUGUUUCCAGCGGAAAAAAAAAAAACAAUUUUCUUGUUUUUAAAAAUAAUAAGCUCCAGGUACUGGAGUGUGAACUCCCCACUUCCAAUGAGUUCUUUUUCAAGUGGGGAGAAGAGAGUGGAAAGGCAAAGAGCCUGGUGUCCGUGGUCACUCCACAGGUGUACCUCAGCACCGCGGGCUCUGUGGUCACUGUGGGAACAGCGUUCGCUUCUGCUCCCCCGCUACUCUUUGACCUCACGUGGUUGGAUUAAGGGAGGUUUCUUUCUGAAUAAAUGUGCUUCUGCUAGAACACUUAACUUUAUCUUAUCGCAGCAAUGAAUUUCGCCUCAUGCCUGUUGCUUAUUUCUGCUGGCUUGGGGUUGAACCCGAGGCCACGUCAACAUGUUGUUCUUAUCUUGCUACAUUUGUUUCAGAUUACAAACCGUUUCAAUGUUUUACCAGAAAUUACUUGUUUUUUGCAGUUGGCGUGAGUGUUUGCUAGAUAUGAGUGCUGAUAGCACAGUGGUUAGAGUUACUCCCUAUAGACCCAAAGGUUGUAGGCUCAAGUAUC
Molecule: long non-coding RNA, 1068 nt
Organism: Scleropages formosus (Asian bonytongue)
Lineage: Eukaryota; Metazoa; Chordata; Actinopteri; Osteoglossiformes; Osteoglossidae
Exons: 4
Source: RefSeq, a predicted model, not a curated record